This 370-nucleotide ribosomal RNA is filed under the name uncultured cyanobacterium. RNAcentral describes it as "bacterial SSU rRNA". It matches the Rfam family "Bacterial small subunit ribosomal RNA", at positions 376 to 761 of the family's 1533-position model. Lineage: Bacteria; Bacillati; Cyanobacteriota. The record is from RNAcentral.
CGAAAGCCUGACGGAGCAACGCCGCGUGAGGGAGGAAGGCUCUUGGGUUGUAAACCUCUUUUGCUUGGGAAGAAGAUCUGACGGUACCAAGCGAAUCAGCAUCGGCUAACUCCGUGCCAGCAGCCGCGGUAAUACGGAGGAUGCAAGCGUUAUCCGGAAUUAUUGGGCGUAAAGCGUCCGCAGGUGGUCAUUCAAGUCUGCUGUUAAAGACCGAAGCUUAACUUCGGAAAGGCAGUGGAAACUGAAUAACUAGAGGUCAGUAGGGGUAGCAGGAAUUCCCAGUGUAGCGGUGAAAUGCGUAGAGAUUGGGAAGAACAUCGGUGGCGAAAGCGUGCUACUGGGCUGAAUCUGACACUGAGGGACGAAAGCU